Molecule: long non-coding RNA, 1368 nt
Organism: Triplophysa dalaica
Lineage: Eukaryota; Metazoa; Chordata; Actinopteri; Cypriniformes; Nemacheilidae
Exons: 2
Source: RefSeq, a predicted model, not a curated record
GCAGCAUUAUUUACAUGUGACAGAAAGAGCAGCACCUGAUAGCAUGAUAUCCUUAAAGCAGUAUGACGCUCUCUCAUCUCAAAGAAGGCAAUAACAUUAGACCUGGUUAAUGACCCAAUCAAAAGUUAUGAUUAUGGAUUCUGUGACUGUGCCAACAAGCCAUCCACAAUCUGACCUCAAGAACUCAAAAUAUCUGAGCGCUCAGAGAAGCACACAGCAGCACAAAUGUGGUCCCUGAAGAUACAGUAUUAUUUCUCAGACUUCUCAUUGUUGAGCACCACAGCCUGUUCCUACAACUCUUCCCUGAUAGACAUCUAAAGCCAAAACAUCAUGUCAUGCUGCAUUAUACAGGUGUCACACGGAGACUAGUCCCUCUGGUGCACUGCUGGUCCAUGAGCUUUCAGGCCAAGCACGGAUUUUUCAAAAGGCUUUCCCACAUGACGUGCAACUUCAGAAAUGUUUUUAAAUACUGGCCUUGAGGCAUGAAAUGUUGCUGUGUUACGAUCUUUAUCGGAAAACAUAUUUACACUGCUUACUCUACUCCACUGGCUUCCAUUGAGAGGUUUGAUCUGCACAGAUUUGAGAAUACUCCGUUGAAUGAAUUCUACACAACCUCCUGGGUGAAGUGGAAAGGGACAGAAUAUGGUCCAGGAAUGACCCUCCUUGUUUCUCAUACUCCACAUGGUGAACUUCAGUUUGGAACAAUUCAGAAGAUUGUGGAUUUUGAGUCUGUGAUCAAGUUCAUUGUUUUGAAAUGGAACACAGUAGGAUUAGAAAGACACGAUUUUGCAUGUUGUGUCAUUCCUUUUACUCUCAUUGACUGCGGUGAUGUUGACUAAAUAGUCCCUGUAAUAUACAGCUGACUGUAUCACAGAGGAUCUGCACAUCUUUACCAUCACUAAUUUAUUAUAUUUUAGAUGUUUUGUGAACUGUGUGAAUGACAGAAGAAAUCCCGUGUCUACGUGUCUAAAGCUGUUGUGUGCUUCAGUAUUCACACAGGAUUUGAUCUUAUAUUUUUGAUGAAAGACGGGCUGUACAUCACGACUCAUUUCACUUGUGACAAUCUUUGCAGGUCGGUCAUUUGUGUCCUGUGAAGUACAUUAAAAUUCUCUGUGGUUUUAUUGACACAUUUUUCAGCUCCAUUACAUUGAACACUUCAACAAAACAGAAGUCCCUUUGGGACAUUUUAAAGGGAUUAUUAAGUAACUUGAAGAAGACUCAAUGAUGUGUAAUUGUAUUUAGUAUGAAGUUUUGUGUUGAAACUGAUUAUACUGCUGCUCAUCUCAGCCAGAGAUGUUUAAUCUCAGAUAGGCUUUCCUGGUCAAAUAAACAAUCAUGACAGAUAAGAAGAACUGCGGUUCAAACCAA